This 4831-nucleotide ribosomal RNA is filed under the name Triticum aestivum (bread wheat). RNAcentral's name for it is "partial small subunit ribosomal RNA". The stretch from base 101 to 235 matches the Rfam family "MIR1120/MIR1122 microRNA precursor family". The record is from RNAcentral. Lineage: Eukaryota; Viridiplantae; Streptophyta; Magnoliopsida; Poales; Poaceae.
GCAGUUGAGAGCGGAGUAAAACUCUAUCAUUUGAGAAAAUAGACAAACCGACAGGUUUAAGUUCCACCCAAAAGUCUGAAUAGCCUGGAAAAUGUCAAUUCUUAUACUCCCUCCGUCCGGAAAUAUUUGUCAUCAAAAUGGAUAAAAGAAGAUGUAUUUAGACAUAUUUUAGUUCUAGAUUCUUCCCUUUUUAUCUAUGUUGAUGACAAGUAUUUUCGGACGGAGGGAGUACAAAUCAAAAGACAAUCAACCCCAGCAACGACUACUGAGCAAUGUUCACAUGGCACUUUGCUUUUGUAUCUCCACGAGCCACGACCGAUGAAAAGUCAAGUCGUACGAUCUUUGCAUCGCAGGCUCAGAGCAAUCUGUAGGCGAAGCCGGAUGGAUCCAGCAUGCAUGCAUGCACCAGAGCGUGCUAGCUACUGUCGGUCCGGUCCGAAUCAAUGUUUGUACCCGGCCGUCUCAAGAAGAAGAGCUGGAGGAGUCGAACGUCGAGACCCUCCGGCGUUUGCUGGCCAGGAGCGAGUCCCUCGGCGAGAACUCGAAGGCGGCGGCGGCGCUGGCGACCCUGUCGAGCACCGAGUCGAGCGCCCGGCGGACCGAGGCCGCCGUCACGGCGCCCUCGCGCAACAUGGCGACGGUGAUCCGGACGCGCCCGCCCAGCGUGGUGACCUCCGAGCCGACGACCCUCGGCGCGAGCGGCUGCAGCGCGCGCCUCACGUCGGCGAAGAGGUCCGCGCAGCCGUCGCCGCAGCUGAGCGUCGCCUUGACGAGGAAGGCGGCGCCGGCGCGGCUGUGUUGGGGGGAUUCUUGCGGUUGCUGGACGACCUCCACGGUGACCUCGUCGGCGCCGGACGGGACGGGGCAGUGCCUGCCCACCCGCGCCGCCUCGCUCUUGAGCUUCUUAACGUGGUUUAUCACCUCCGCGAGCAGCGCCGCCUUGUCCAUCUGCACAAGCCAAGUAUAUCGACAGAUCAGGUUUUUGGUGCAUCUGCCUGGUCCGGUUCCUGAACGUAACCAUGCAUGUACACGUAGCAGCAGGAAGCUGCAAUGCCGCGGCUCCACCCGGCUCCCGUGGUUGCCUCCAUUGCCGCGCCUCACACGGUCACACCUCGGCCACCCAUGGCGGCGUCUGAUCGCCACGCAAAGGCCCAUGUUCCAACCGGGCCCAAGCUUAGAUAUACUGUCUAAAUAUCGUCACUUCUAUGGGCCGCCCAAAUAUCGUCACUUCUAUUAUAUUCGAAAUAUUGCUAUUUAAUAAAAAAAUUACAAAAAAAAUUCUAAAAAAUGUUCAUGUAUUCAAAAUAUUUGUUUACUAGAUUUUUUUUCCAAAAAAUGUUAUGGACAUAAUUCUUCACACUUUUAGCAAUAAAAUUCAGGCAUGAAAAAAAAACAAGUAAAAAUAAAAAGAAAACCAAAAAAGGGAAAUGGAAACAAAAGCCAGCGAAGUGACAGAGAAAAGAAAGGGACAUGCCUAAUAAGGCAAGGGGCAUGCGAUUUGUGACCCUAUCUUAGGCGAUAGGCGUAGAAUAAGAUUUGCCGCAAGGCAAUGAGCCAUGUUGUCCUCAGAAGAAGGUAAAAAAGAGCAAUGGACAUGCCAGAUAUGUCCAUAUAUUUGCCGACCGAAGUGCCAUUGUUGCAUUUGUGAGUUCGUGACUGCGCCUGGCUGGCUCAUACAUAUGCACCGCCGCUUGCCCAACAUGGAGUUGUCACGAGGAAGCUGCCCAAGUCUAUGGCGAACAAUUCACAACUUCCAUGCGAGUACAGAUUCCACACCACGACGACAGGUUGCACUCAGACUGGUAGCCACACCAUCAUCAGGUUUUUCGGCACUGCCUAUAACGAUUCUUCCAUGAGGAGUUGCCAUAUAUCUAGACCAACCUAAUAGCUGGCAUGUACAACACUAAGUUCUUGUUUGGAAUCUCCUCACUCCGCUCCACUCCAUGAAGCCGCGGAGCUCGGUUUGAGCUGCUCCGUAAAAGCUGCAGCACCUUGCUCCGUUCCGGGAGCCGAGUCGCUUGAGCGGAGAGAAACCGAACAAGCACUAAGUUUUAAAUGUAUAUUAUUCUAUUAAUAGUUGGCCCAUCUUAUAAUCUCACAUAUUCUCUUUUCUCCUUUCCAACUAACAAAUAUAUACUCCCUUCGUAAAGAAAUAUAAAAGCGUUUAGACAAUUAUUUUAGUGAUCUAAACGUUCUUAUAUUUGUUUACAGAGGGAGUAAUAUUUAAGUUCUUAAAGUCAACUUAUUGUACUUGCUCUUAGGUGAAAACCGAGGUUCCGAUAAUGAUGGCAUUUACGGGCAUCCUUCACUCUUUCAUAUAUGUUUGUAUUGAGCUUCUCGUGAUGCUUCCACUUUGUUACUUCCUUGGUGUAAAAAUUCAUGAGACAGUUUUGACAAUUUAGAUGGAGGUCGUGAGGGUGUCUUUUUCGAGUUUUGAAUCCUCGAUUCUUCAUCGGCAAUAAAGAACUUGUUGGGGAUGCACAUGGAGAGCUAAUGGGCGGGAGGUGGAUUUUUUCUAGGACGACAAUAGUGAUCGUCAAGCCCACUAGGUUUGAUUGCCAACCAUGCCCUGCUUCUCUUGGGAUGACUGAUUACUCGAUCUUUGGCCGCCCACUCACAACUAAGUUUCGGGACUGACUGGUUGUCCCUUCCGUGGGCUCCUUGGCGACGCAUCCCCCGCCACUCACCCUUCUAUGCUGCUCGCACCUGUGAAAGCAUAUAACGCCCCCGAGCUAACUACCAGGUAUAAUACCACCAUGUCUGGCUACUACUAGCCUUUUCGGCACAAUUGUGCCAACAUCCAAGUCAUUCACCCAUCCUCAAAUUACCUCAGGCUAAACACGCUUAACCUGGAGGUUCUUUCGAGAUGAGCUUCCGAAAAAAAAGAUGCACCAUAUGUUGAUAUGAGUAUUCUAUUAACCCGAUGUUAUAAAACAUUGGAAUGGGGUGGUAUUCCGCAGGCAAGAAGAUGAACUGUAUUGAUCUCAGUAUUCCAUUAACCCUGAUGUUAUAAAACAUCAGGGUGGUAUUCCACGGGCUCGCGGCCUCCCUAUCCCUUACGCUCAAGUGCUGCCGGGGCGACAGCGCUAUUGGUGUGUGUUCACUACGUAGUAUGUAUGCUCCAUGACUUGUCAUCUGUUAUUCCAGACCGAAUUUAUCAUUUUGCAUCAUCUUGACGCUUUAAUAACAUCAUUUUCUGAAGAAAAAAAUAGCGUGACGUGCGUAACUAUUGUUUUUUAUUGGUUCCCCCUGGACUAUUCCAAAACUCGCGUAUUGCAACGGUGGAAUAAUUCACUGGGAGAAGAAGAAAGAAAGAAAGAUACAGAAAUUAGCGACUCAACGAGGAGGAGAAGGCACUGACCUUGCCGGUGCAGGGGACCAUGCUCCGGAGCGUGGCGAGGUGCGCGUUGAUCCUCUCCCUCCGCCGCCGCUCCGCUUCGCUGUGGCUCCUAAGGGCCGUCGCCGCUUUCUCCUCCCGCGCUCCCCCCUUCCUCUUCGGCACGUCCGCGGCGGCGGCUGCGGCCAGCUCCCCCGUCCCGCCAUCCAGCAGGACCGACGACGACGUCGACGCUCCCAGAUGCUGGCCAAAGCCAUGUUCAUGUCCAUGCCCGCCGCCGAAACCACCGUAAAACCCAUCGUAGAGCCCCACCGCGCCGCUGAAGGGGCCAGAGUUCAUCUCGUCCCACAAGGCCAAAGGACGUGAGAUCGAGAGCGUACUGGAUGAAGCUUAGAGAGAAACCGUCGAGGUGAAAUGCGCAGCUGGGUCAGAAUAUGGUUUCUUGAACUGCCACGGGGGAGACAAGCUUGACGCCUGCGAAACAAGGAUUUUUACAGGCACCAGGGCCAAGAACCGAGUAUACUUGUUGUCCCGAAUGUCACAGAUCUUCGCGACAACGACAAGACAGGAGCAGGAGGCUGCAAAGCAAGAACGCCCCAGUUUCCCAAGAAUAUAUUGACCUGUGUAACUGCGAGCGCAGACAACGGAGGCCAACAGGAAGGAAACAACAGCGAGACCGACGGCCUGGUUCCCAAGAACACGGUGGUCCAGACAGGUCAAAAAAGACCUUCUCCCAAGGUCAAUCGCCUCAGAAAUGGCGAGACCCUUGGGGAGCAAAGCCGUGUCGUUGCGCCGCAGGAGGACAGGAUCAGACACAAGAAGGAGAAGGGCACAAGGAUCGUAGCUUGCUCCCUCAGACUACGAGUCGUAGGAACACAAAUCAAAGAGGCAAAUCGAGAGAGAGGAGUAAGCAGAAGACAAGAACACAGAGCAGGCUCAGCUCAGGUGCCCGGAGGCCGGUUGGGAGGGCAGGACCAUGAGGGGAGCUCGACGCGCCGUAGCUUCCUCUGCUCGGACUCCACCCUGCUCCCGCCGGCGUCGGUCCUCGGCGUGCCGCCAUGCGCUUCCAUCAUCGCCAUCGAUGGACUUCCGCUCGAGGGCUAGCACGGCUAGAUCAACUUGGAACUCCUCUGCUGUAUGAACGGGAUCAUCCUCUCACGCAGGUGGAAGCAAUAUGUAUCUGCGUUUCCUCUCACUUUCUUGGCGAUAGGCCGUUUGGAUUGUGGGUUUCUUCCUCUUAAAAUUCUGCGAGGAGAGGGAGGAGAACGGUGGCGGUAGGUAAGCUCUUUGGAUUGGGAUUUCUUCCUCCGAAAAUUCGAGGAAGGAAGGAGAAGAAGAGUGUUUCUUUUCUAGGGAUGCGGAGGAGCUUCGAGGAAGAAGAAACACCCGUUGUCUUUCAAGGAUGGAGAGCUUGUUAUUUAGUAUACUACGUCUGAUUCGUUGUUGUUUUCUAAAUUUGACACACAGGAUAAGGACGUGCCGUGCAAAUUCUAC